GUGCUCACUUCGGCAGCACAUAUACUAAAAAUGGAACAAUACAGAGAAGAUUAGCAUGGCCCCUGCACAAGGAUGACACACAAUUUCAUGAAGUGUUCCAUAUUUAA
This is a small nuclear RNA of Callithrix jacchus (white-tufted-ear marmoset), 107 nucleotides long. The record is from Ensembl. Lineage: Eukaryota; Metazoa; Chordata; Mammalia; Primates; Cebidae.